This 216-nucleotide ribosomal RNA is filed under the name Glomeromycotina sp. RNAcentral's name for it is "partial small subunit ribosomal RNA". The stretch from base 44 to 216 matches the Rfam family "Eukaryotic small subunit ribosomal RNA", at positions 690 to 864 of the family's 1831-position model. The record is from RNAcentral. Lineage: Eukaryota; Fungi; Glomeromycota.
GGGUCAGUAGGUUGGUCGUGCCACCGGUACGUACUGGUCUCACUGAUUCCUCCUUCCUGAAGAACCGUAAUGCCAUUAAUUUGGUGUUGCGGGGAAACAGGACUGCUACUUUGAAAAAAUUAGAGUGUUUAAAGCAAGCUAACGCUUGAAUACAUUAGCAUGGAAUAAUGAAAUAGGACGAUCGAUCCUAUUUUGUUGGCUUCUAGGAUUGACGUA